UACAGAGGGUGCAAGCGUUAAUCGGAAUUACUGGGCGUAAGGCGUGCGUAGACGGUUAUUUAAGUCAGGUGUGAAAGCCCCGGGCUCAACCUGGGAAUUGCAUUUGAGACUGAAUAGCUAGGGUGCGGAAGAGGGAAGCGGAAUUUCCGGUGUAGCGGUGAAAUGCGUAGAUAUCGGAAGGAACACCAGUGGCGAAAGCGGCUUCCUGGUCCAGCACCGACGUUCAGGCACGAAAGCGUGGGGAGCAAACAGG
RNAcentral lists this ribosomal RNA (253 nucleotides) under uncultured bacterium. RNAcentral describes it as "partial 16S ribosomal RNA". It matches the Rfam family "Bacterial small subunit ribosomal RNA", at positions 524 to 776 of the family's 1533-position model. The record is from RNAcentral.